UGGUGUAGCACAGUGGUAGUGCAGCUGAUUCGUAAUCAGCAGGUCGAGGGUUCAAUCCCCUCCACC
This 66-nucleotide transfer RNA is filed under the name chicken gut metagenome. It matches the Rfam family "tRNA". From Rfam's summary of the family: Transfer RNA (tRNA) molecules are approximately 80 nucleotides in length. Their secondary structure includes four short double-helical elements and three loops (D, anti-codon, and T loops). The record is from RNAcentral.